UCCAGACUCCUACGGGAGGCAGCAGUGGGGAAUAUUGCACAAUGGGGGGAACCCUGAUGCAGCGACGCCGCGUGGGCGAGGAAGUAUUUCGGUAUGUAAAGCCCUAUCGGCAGGGAAGAAGAAAUGACGGUACCUGAAUAAGAAGCACCGGCUAAAUACGUGCCAGCAGCCGCGGUAAUACGUAUGGUGCAAGCGUUAUCCGGAUUUACUGGGCUUAAAGGGAGCGCAGGCGGCGCGCCAAGUCUGAUGUGAAACCCCGGGGCUCAACCCCGGGCAUGCAUUGGAAACUGGCGGGCUGGAGUGCCGGAGGGGUAAGCGGAAUUCCUAGUGUAGCGGUGAAAUGCGUAGAUAUUAGGAGGAACACCAGUGGCGAAGGCGGCUUACUGGACGGCAACUGACGCUGAGGCUCGAAAGCGUGGGGAGCAAACAGGAUUAGAUACCCCGGUA
This 447-nucleotide ribosomal RNA is filed under the name uncultured bacterium. Its description in RNAcentral is "partial 16S ribosomal RNA". It matches the Rfam family "Bacterial small subunit ribosomal RNA", at positions 330 to 792 of the family's 1533-position model. The record is from RNAcentral.